UUGCAGGCUCAUCAAUCCAGACUCAGAUCUAAGGGCAGUACAACCAGAGGGAAACUGACAGAUGCAGAAAAUAGCUCAUUUCUGGCUCGUUGUUCUGGCUUGGGCAAGAGAAGGUGUGUGCAGUGCCUGGGACGAAGGACUGAACAGGCUGAGGCCGGGAUUUGUUCCAGGAGCCCCCAGGGGACAGGCCUGGCUCCUGAGCCUGGAAAUGGGGAGGGCGCAUCUCCAACAGGUGGAGGCUCCCAGCAAAGUAUGCCAGGCAAGAGAAAAGAGGGGAACCGCUCUCUGUCAACACUACUCUUGGCAUCCUCCCAUCCCCCAGGAGGGACCCUCAGCCUGCCCCCAAGGCCACGGGACGAGGGAGGAGCUGGGGAUGAUGAGAGAGGAAGGAAGGAGGCGGCUCUUCUUGGCGAGCUGAUGGGGUGUGAGUGGUGAGCAUUAAUUAAAAAGCCAUCCGGGAACAAUGGUCUUUUCAUAUUUGAAGCCUGUUCUGCACAAAGCUCAGCUUGUUCUAGGGGGAGGUCUCUGCUUUAGAUUUUUUUCUUACUCAUUUCCGAGGGUUGUGGCAAUGUCUGGCACCCAGCUCGAUCCACUGGAGUGUCCCCAACCAGAGGCUGUACAAGGCAGACCUCCUCAACUUCAUAGGUGGUGCCAUUCAGGUACAAAAAAAAAAGGUGGGGAGGCAACUUCGGGAAGUUGUUCUGUUUCAAUCCACAAGCUCCCAGAGAGCUCCUGGGCGUUUCCCCGAAUAGCUGCCUAACCCACAGAAAUAUACACUGGACGUUUUCUUCAGUCAAACACCCAUUUCCCUCUCAAAUUACACUAGACAUACCACACCCGGCAGACACAGGGCGGGGAGUCGUGGGUCUAACAGACAGCCAACAGACGCUCCAAGCAUGAAGUCUGAGAGGACAGUGAAUGGACAUCAGGAGUGCUGAGACCCCCUCUGCGUUCCAGCCCACUCCUGGAAUCUCAGCAACACCUCAAACUGUCCUUAAGAAAAGCAGUUUUUAAACCAGGGACAGGAGCGAACACUGAGCAACUAAGAAGGUCCUGACACUUCAAAAAACCAUCACCCGCCUCAAUCCUUACCAUCUCGGUGGGCAGUCCCCUCGGAUCCCACCUCCUGGUACUCACACCCUUGUGUAACCCCUCCCUCUCCAGUGUGGGCUGUGUACAGUGACUCACUUCUAAACAAGAGUCUACAAAUAGAACAGGUCACUUCUGAGAAGACGUUGCAAAGAGACUAUAGUUCUGUCACCUGCACUCUCCCUAGUGGAAGCCAAAUGCCAGGUUGCAUGCUACUCUAAGGACAGGCCCCCGGGUCAAGAAAUGGGGGGCAGCCCCCAGCCAACAGGGGAACAGAAGCCCUCGAUCCAGCAGCCCUGGAGGAACUGAAUCCUGCCAACAACAUGAUGAGCUCAGACACAGGACCUUCCCCAGCAGAGCUAUCAGAUAAAGAAACUGAGACCCACAGUCACAGCCCAGCAAAGGCAGAACUCAAAUGCUGGCCAAAAUGGCACAAACCUCUUUGGGAUCUUGGAAAUUUAGCCCAAACAUGCUGAACAUACCUCGGAUUUGCUGGCCAAGAAAAUCCCAUCAGUCACUCUGAUGUCUGCUUUGACACACCCUGUUCAUGUCCCGUGGCAGCCAUUCCCUGCCUUGGUAAGUCCACCCACUAACUGGGCAGCUUUCUCCUGCACCUGUGCCCCCAAGUCCCUCCACACAGGGACAGGGGGCAACAGGUAGACAGUCUGCCCCUUGGUUAACCUGUGAAGGAAAAUCCUCAUUCUCAGCUUAUGUUGAGGCAGAGCCUUAAGCUACUUUUAAGGUCUAUGACACGUCAGGAAGAUGAUGCGAUGCUUCCCUCCGGAGAGCUAAAACUGGCAGAGGUGUUCUCAGAUCUCCAGGAGGAUUCCACAGGCUUGCACAUCACUGACUAAGACAUACAUAUUUUUACCAACACAUACUCUAGACACUUACAGUAAAGUUCAUAAAUAAUUAAGACUAAGUAGUCUAAGGACAUUUUCUGAGGCACUUUUGCUUUAAAAACAACAACAACAACAAAAACCUAGGCCCUCAUUCGUAAGGUUGAAUAAUAUCCGAGCCGUCCAGACAUAGCCAAAAACCAGUGAUAUUCAAGUGAUUGUACAUUCUCACUCUCGGACAUACGUGUCUUUUAUUAUGAAAGCAAUAGAUAUUCACUAUUCAGAGUUUAGAACACAAAGUAUUAAAAGUAGCUUGUACUUCUACCCCCUGGAAAAAACCACUCAGUUAAUAUUCUAUUAUAUGUAUCCUUCAGCCUCUCCUUCACACAUAUUUUAAAAAUUAAACUGAAGUCCCAUGGUAUGCACGGCCUCCUUUAAUUUAAUUUUACAUUACUGUUUUCCCAUAUCCAUAACCAUGAGACAAAGGUUUUAAAUAGUCACGUAAGAAUCUGCCAUAUGGAUGCACCACAGUUCGAAUCAAUCCCCUGUGAGGGAUUUAGAUUGUUUCCAUUUUCACUAUUAUAAAUGCCUACAAAGAAAUCUUUAUUUACAUAUUUCUUUUGCACAACUCCAAUGAUUUCUCUGGUUAUAAAUUAAGGUGCCGAGUCACUAGCCUGAUUCUGUACAUUAGAGAUAAAUCAGUGAAAACACAAAGAUUCCUGCCCUUGUGAAGCUUAUAUUCUAGCAGGGGAGACAAUCAAGGAUAAUAAAGUUUAAAAUUAUCUAGUAUUUUAUUAGGUGACGCAGGCGAUGGUAACAAGGGAAAGGCAGGAUAGAGUUCGGAGAAUCAGCAACUUGCAGUGAGACAAGCUACAAAUGUAAAUAAACCUUAUUUUAAAGUUUCUUGACACACAUGGCCAAACUACUCCCAGAAAGGGUGCAUCAAUUUUUCUUCCUUCUCACCAUUAACUGGGUAUUUGCUUUACAAUAAUAUCUUGGUUGCAAAACACACAAAAAGCUCAAUCUCACUGGUAAUUAGAUAAGGUAAAAUAGGGGCUACCACUCAUCUCUUCACAUAGGCAAUGUGAAUUUAUUCUUCAUAUGAAUACCCCAUUCAUAUUCUUUGCUCACUUUUCUACUAUCUUUUUCUAUCAUUGAUUUUAAGAGCUCUUUAUAUAUUGAGGUUAUUUAAGACAAGCUCUAUCAAUUACAUGUACUGUCAACAUCUUUUCCCAGUUUGUCAUAUGCCUUUAAAUUUCUUGAUUAGUACCCAGCAGACAGAAUUUUUUUUUUAUGUAGUAAAUCAGUAUUUCCACUAUGAUUUCUUUCACUAUAAGAACUGGGCCUAAUAUCCAUUCCUGCCCCAUAUUCAGAUUAACAUUAACCUAUACUUUCUUCUAGCUCUUUGUGACUUCAGUUUUACUUUCACCUCUCUAAUCUGGAAUGUAUGGUAAUAUAUUCUAUGAGGAAUGGCUGUAAGUUUUCCCCUACUUGGUUAUCUACCUUACAACCAUUUAUUGCAUAACUGCACAAUAUGCAAUAUUGCAAAAUACUACAGGUAGCAAAGCACAGUGAAAGAGAUCAUUGGUUUUGCUGUCUAUCAGAUCAGUGCUCAAGUCUGGGUAACCUUGGGCAAGUAGUCUAUAAACAUGAGUAAAAGGAACUAUUCAUAGUGGCCACCUCAUACAGUUCUUGUGUGUGUGGAUUAAAUAAAUUCACAUGAAAGUGUUUAGCAUAAUGCCUGACACUUAGAAGUACUGAAAAAAGUGAGCUUUUAUUAUUUUAACUCCUCGCACUUACUUGAAAUGCUACAUUACCUGACACAUUUCUAUUUGAUUCCAUUCUGUUGAGUAGUCUCUAUAGCAUUUUCUAACCCAGUUUUCCAAGUAUUUGAGAAGGCUGACUUUUUGAAAUUUUACUUUGUAACUGAACUCUAUACCUAAUUCAAUUUAAAUGUGUCUUGGGUAUUGUAGGAAGACAAUAACACCUGCAAAUAAUUUUUUUAACCAUUAUUUGACUUUGGUUUGUACAUUCUGGCCAAUUCAAUAAGGCAGAAAAAAGAAAUGGUACACCGGGCAAUCUUUGUUUUAUUCCCCAUUUCAUAAUGCUGCCUCUCAUGGUUCACCAGUAAGGCUCCAGCUAUUGGGCUGUUUGUUUUGCCAUCAAAUUAAUGCAAUCUCUUUGCAUCCUGGUUUUUUAAAAUUCUACACAAACUAGGAAUAAGAGUAGAAAAUUACCAGAUGCCUUUUUUUGAUAUGUAUUUUUUCUUCUUUCUGCCUAGGUGAUGUAUUUGAAGAAUAGACAUUCUAAUGUUUAGCUCUUCUGACAUUUAUGGGAUAAACCUUAUGUGAUCAUGAUUCUUUUAAAAUACUGAAUUCAAUCUUCAACUGUUUAUUUGGCAUUUUUCAUCUAUAUUUAUGACUGAGCUCAAUCUUCAGUCUUCUCUUUGUGUAAUCUUUGUAAUGAUGCUGGUUCCCAAAGUUGUACUAGCUCUAUAAAAUUAACUGCGAUGGUUUACUGCUUUUUCUAUGCUCCAAAAUAGUUUAUUUAGCAGGCAAUUAUUUUGUCUUCCAAAGUUUAAAAGAACUCAUCCAUUAAACCGCUUGCAUCCAGAGCCCUUUUUGGAAAUACGAUUUUUUUUACAUGUUUGGUUUCUUCCCUAGUUUCACACUGAUGAGUCACUUUCCUAGAAUAGCCAUGUCAACUGAGAUUUUCAAAGUUGUUGUAUUUUAAGUUACCAUAUUCUAUUUUUAUAUUAAAAAAUAAUUAUUUCAAAUAUAACUUAUAAUUUAUUACUCUUUUUUUUUCCAUCACAUCAACUCAUUUUUAGUUUUGUGUGUCUGGGUUUUUCCUUUUCUUAAUUAGAUAUGACACAGUGGUUUUUGGUCUAUUUCCUUGAUUUUUUUUGACCCAGAUAAACAGCUCUUAAAUUUAUCACUUCAAUGUUUUUGUCUGUUUUCUAAUUCAUUAAUAUCACUUGUACAUUAUUAGGCAUCCAAAAAAUGAUCUCUUAAUUCUGUUUUCUUCUUUCCAACCUUGAGUGGAACACUUAAUUUCAUUUAUUUUCAUUUUCCUUUAUUUAAUAAUGAGACAGUUUAAAGCUAUGAAUGUGCCCCUGAUUAUAACUUUGGCAAUAACCCAUGCAUUUAUAUAGAGAGUUCUCAGUAUUUCCUAAUGACUCUUUAACAGCAAUUUUAUCUCCUCUUUAACCCACGUGAUUCAGGAAAAUAUUUUUUAAUUUUCAAGUAACUGGAUUUCAUUAAUGUUUUUAAUAUUAAGUACUCCAUAGAGGACGUAAACAUCUCUGAAAGAACAUGAAGAAACCAUUGCAAAGGAAAAGAAAAAAACUUUGAAGCAGAAAACACUACCCAUGUUUAAGUACUUACGUAAUACCGUGACAGCCAUACCCAAGUAUACGCCUUAUAGAAAGGGUCUAACAGCAGGUGAUUCUGAGGAACUAAGUGAUUCUGGGGCACAGAGCACAGGAAGAGAGGGAAAAGGAAAGCUCCUCUGUACCUUCUGAAAAUUUUAUUGUGGGCAUGUAUUGCCUCUUUAAAAAUUAAUUUAAAAAGCCAAGCCAUCUCUCAAUACAUGCGAUAAUACCAUCCCAGAUAUACUAAGUAUAUCACCAAGUAAAUUUCCAUACUUCCCUUGAUGAACUUUGGAGACCGAUUUCAUUGAGCAAGACUUGGCUCCAAGAUGAUAAACAUCCGUGGUUGGAGAAAGGAGGAGGAAAAAAAGAGAUCUCUAAUUCUGCAACCUCCAAAUACAGAAGAACUAAGAACUUAAGGAAAAGGAAAUAAUCAAAAAAAGUUUAAUCCAGUUUCAACCAGCUACCAUUCUGACACCUGAAAUGCAAGAACAUACCGCUGAAAGGAUGGCAGAAUUCCCAGUUUCACCCACGUCCUCUUCUACUCUUUCCCAUUGUAGCAAUGCUCCCUUGUCAGGCGUUUUGGUUGGAGUAGACUUCUCCAUUAUUAACUUCAAAUGGAUUUCGAUCCCAAAUUCAUUCAGUUAACUUGGGAUUCUAAGUGUUAUGCCAUAGUCAACCCCCACCCUCCCCACCAACUUUGCAAUGUCAACUGCAAAAGAUAAGAAAAAACAAACUCCAGAAAUCAGUUUUCCAAUUUAUGUUGAAGAAAUCUGCUUCCCUCUUUCUAAUUCCCACAACUGGGAAAAUCCAUAGAUUAUGUUACCGUGUAAUGAAGGAUGCCAGUAAACAGAAAGUCACAGGCUCGCCGCACACACAACAGAUGACACUGCAUGUAAUUGCAAACCCGACCAAGUUAUGUACUCCUGGGAGUAUUAUUAGUGAGAUGUUGUUAUUUAAUGCCUCUACUGUUUGGAAAA
Molecule: long non-coding RNA, 6278 nt
Organism: Manis pentadactyla (Chinese pangolin)
Lineage: Eukaryota; Metazoa; Chordata; Mammalia; Pholidota; Manidae
Exons: 3
Source: RefSeq, a predicted model, not a curated record